This 305-nucleotide ribosomal RNA is filed under the name uncultured bacterium. Its description in RNAcentral is "bacterial SSU rRNA". It matches the Rfam family "Bacterial small subunit ribosomal RNA", at positions 333 to 656 of the family's 1533-position model. The record is from RNAcentral.
GAACGCCUAGGGAGGCAGCAGUGGGGAAUAUUGCACAAUGGGCGAAAGCCUGAUGCAGCAACGCCGCGUGAAGGAAGACGGUUUUCGGAUUGUAAACUUCUGUUCUUAGUGAAGAAUAAUGACGGUAACUAAGGAGCAAGCCACGGCUAACUACGUGCCAGCAGCCGCGGUAAUACGUAGGGGGCGAGCGUUAUCCGGAUUCAUUGGGCGUAAAGCGCGCGUAGGCGGCCGCCUAAGCGGAACCUCUAACCCCGGGGCUCAACCUCGGGCCGGGUUCCGGGCUGGGCGGCUCGAGUGCGGUAGAG